AGCAAAACUUUACCAGAUUGUGUAGAAAUCCAGUAGAUCGUGUGAGAACCAAGACUUUCCAACCUUAUCAGUCUCACGCGAACCUUGCCGGAGGACUUUCCAGCCUUAUCGGUCUCAGGCUGGUCUCAGGUGAGCCUUGUCGGAGUUUGUCAGGCUCAGGCGAGACUCGCUGGAGUAUGGGUUUGCUGGUAUGACUUAUAGCUACCACUUAUGGGAUGAAUAGCUCGACAGUACUCUGAGAGAGAGAGAGAGAGAGAGAGAGAGAGCAGAUCUAAACUCGCUGCCUCUCCCUCACUGAGAAGUGAGAAAUGAAAAUAGGAACCCUAACUCAGUAACUUAUGUGUAUAUAUAUAGGCAGGGGUAAUUUAGUAAUUUACUAGUUCGGUUUGGGUUCGGGUUCGGUUCGGUUCGGGUAUCAGCUGAACCAUGACCAAACCGAAACCCGUUCGGUUAUCCUAUGUGCCAACCAAACCCAUACCCACGGGGAUAAUUUCGGUUAUGGUUCGGGGAUAAUUUCGGUUAUCGGUUUGGGUACCCAUCGGUUUGGUUCAAAUUGCCUUCCCUAAGUGGGGUAGUAGUUAGGUGUAGCAGUGCUAAAAUAGGCUAUGCAGCAAGAAUGAAGUAUUUGUUGUGCUAAAAUAGCUCAAUUAUAUUUUCUUUGCAAAUUUUGAACAAAAAUUAGCGCAAUGCUUAUUUACACUACAUUGUUUUCACAUAGCAGAGUGCGUACUACAUUGCUGGUGCUGUGGGGCCAUUCAUAGAAAAUCCGUUAUAUGCGUGUUCCAUAGGCGUUGGUGCAUUUGGUGUUUUUGAAUGUCUGUGUAUGGUAUCUUUUUGUGUCUUUGUCUGUUCUGUGGGUUAGAGCUGCACAUUAGAGCAUCUGUGGCGGUCUAGUACUUAGGUUUAGCAGUGUUAAGUUUGUUAACAAAUAGAAAUGUGGGCCUGUCCAUGGUUUCUCUGUACCAUGUAGAAUUCCCAAACAAGAGACAGAUAAAGGGGAAGGAAAUACCCCUUUUGUCUUCAAACCCCAGCACAUGAAGUCCUAUUUGGUUCUGAUAAUGUCCCUCUAUCUCUGUAGUAUAUCUUCGUGGGAGAUUUUUGAAAGGUUAGGCAUACUAUGUUUAUUGCUAAAAUCGAGGCUAUUCUGGCUAAAGUGUCAAUAAUUUUUGUUGUGGUACUAGAUGUAUCGAUUCACAUUUGACAUUCACUUGGUAAAACCUUAGAAUACAUUGUACUCUACACUCAUGGGUGGAACUACGGGGGGUGGUGACACGUGCCACCCCCUGUUUCAAAAAAUACCACCAAAAAAGGAGAAGAGCACAGGAUAACGUUAUAUAUUAAAAUAAAUUUGCACAAAGAGCACUUUGGCUAAGUGGUUAAAACUUGUGCCACGUUCUUGGGUCUUCCCAAUUCCCAUUCUAGUCUCCCCGGCAGCAUUUUAUCUUUUUGUCCUUAUAGAAACCUCCUCUCAGCUCUCUCUCUCCUCAAUUUUUGCAUGAACUCUUACAAGGUUUGUAAUUUUUCACUAAUUGGGGUAGGUGUCCCCCGCACUUUCGAACACAUAAUUUUUCUAAUAGACUAACGUGGUUCAACUAGGUAUUUAAGGGUAUGCCAAAAAAAAAAAAAAAAACUAGUACUUUGUACGAAUACUGGAAAAA
Rhododendron vialii is the source of this 1658-nucleotide long non-coding RNA. RefSeq lists it as uncharacterized. The transcript is spliced from 2 exons. Lineage: Eukaryota; Viridiplantae; Streptophyta; Magnoliopsida; Ericales; Ericaceae. The record is from RefSeq and is a predicted model, not a curated record.